Molecule: transfer RNA, 103 nt
Filed under: Leptolyngbya sp. IPPAS B-1204
Lineage: Bacteria; Bacillati; Cyanobacteriota; Cyanophyceae; Leptolyngbyales; Leptolyngbyaceae
Also listed under: 2 other names
Description: tRNA-Leu
Rfam family: tRNA
About the family: Transfer RNA (tRNA) molecules are approximately 80 nucleotides in length. Their secondary structure includes four short double-helical elements and three loops (D, anti-codon, and T loops).
Source: RNAcentral
ACUCCUGUAGCCCAAUCGGAAGAGGCGGCUGUCUCAAAACCAGUCAAUGUGCGGGUUUCUCCUAACAGAGACGCUACGCGAACGACUCCCGCCAGGAGUACCA